This 338-nucleotide unclassified non-coding RNA is filed under the name soil metagenome. Its description in RNAcentral is "partial contains 5.8S ribosomal RNA, internal transcribed spacer 2, and large subunit ribosomal RNA". The stretch from base 1 to 120 matches the Rfam family "5.8S ribosomal RNA", at positions 35 to 154 of the family's 154-position model. The record is from RNAcentral.
GAUGAAGAACGUAGCGAAAUGCGAUAAGUAAUGUGAAUUGCAGAAUUCAGUGAAUCAUCGAAUCUUUGAACGCACAUUGCGCCCGCCAGUAUUCUGGCGGGCAUGCCUGUUCGAGCGUCAUUUCAACCAUCAAGCCCCGGGCUUGUGUUGGGGACCUGCGGCUGCCGCAGGCCCUGAAAUGCAGUGGCGGGCUCGCUGUCACUCCGAGCGUAGUAGUUACAUCUCGCUCUGGGCGUGCUGCGGGUUCCGGCCGUUAAAUGAAAAGCCUUCGUAGCCCAAGGUUGACCUCGGAUCAGGUAGGAAGACCCGCUGAACUUAAGCAUAUAAUAAGCGGAGGA